This 197-nucleotide non-coding RNA is filed under the name Limosilactobacillus reuteri. Lineage: Bacteria; Bacillati; Bacillota; Bacilli; Lactobacillales; Lactobacillaceae. The record is from RNAcentral.
CCAAAGAUGAAGAAGUAAUCUUAGUAGUAAGCGGUUGGACAUUUAGGAAGCAAGUGGUAACUGUAAACUUUGCCAAUGCCGUUAUACGAAUUACACUUACGGAGUCUUUCAGUAUUUGAACGGAUCGUCUCGUUAUCGACUAGAGUGGUAGCUAUUUAGCUGCAAUCAAGGUGGUAACGCGGUAAAUCGUCCCUGAC